Molecule: microRNA, 25 nt
Filed under: Patiria miniata (bat star)
Lineage: Eukaryota; Metazoa; Echinodermata; Asteroidea; Valvatida; Asterinidae
Description: Pmi-Mir-193-P1_5p (mature (co-guide))
Source: RNAcentral
CGAGGUUGUCCUGGGGCUCAGUAUG